RNAcentral lists this long non-coding RNA (1928 nucleotides) under Bos grunniens (domestic yak). RNAcentral describes it as "lncRNA (ENSBGRG00000001469.1)". The record is from RNAcentral. Lineage: Eukaryota; Metazoa; Chordata; Mammalia; Artiodactyla; Bovidae.
CACACUUGGUUAAAGAAUCACUGAAUUAGCUGCUGGCACACUGACCCUCCCUUAGGGCAGGCAGGAAACUUGCUUUGUACUGCUCAGUAGUUCAACCCAAGUCUGCUUAGAAAUCAUGGGCUCCUAUCUUUGGGGUGAGCUCUAUCUGUGGGCCCUCGGGUGUCCUUUCAGUAACAGACAGCAACUUAAGUUCUAUGGAAACGAAUUUCAACUGAAACAAAUCCACAAAGUGGAAGAGGUUCCAAAGUAGAGUAUGAAUGCUAAGUGGAUGACUCGUGGACUCAUUUAAGGCUUCGAUUCUUGCCUCAAUUUUAACCGUAAUUAUUCAAGAAAACUCAGCUGAUUCCCCCUGCCCUGGUCUUUUUUUUUUUUUUUAAGCAGGGAGACUCAGCAUCCAACAGAAUUAACACCUGUGCUUCUAAAGUCUUCAGGGAUUCUAGUCGAGAGGUUCUUUGAAGAGAGGUGGAGAAUCAGCGGUGCAGCACAAGCGAGACCCCAAAGUGAGAAUUCCACCCCUCCUUAGGACUUGAUGAGGGAAGCAAAAGAUGCGCUUUGGCCAGGACGGGCCUAAGCCUUGCCUCCAGGGCCAUCGACGCCCUGCCUAUCUGUGCCUCGGGGUUCCGACGCACCUUGGGACAUCAGCCUGGACGCCUUAGGCGGCAGAGCCUCCCUUUCCCCUCCCUAGAGCUGGAGGGCCUCUGCGGGGCGUGGAAUUCCGCCGUCGUCCGCACCUGCGGCCCAGGGGAGCUUGCGUGCAGGUUCACAUUACUUGGUGUCAAAAGGGGUAUUUGAAGGAGUUGAAUCCCUAAAGAACUAACGAUCCUGGGAAUCAUGCCUGGUACCCACUUGAUCCCCUUGUGUUCUCCACUCUUUUGGUCUGGUAAGUCUCCUCUCAGAUUCAAGCUCAUUCCUUUUGAUUGAGCUCUCCAGCUUUUUAGGGGGAUCUGUUUUUGUUUUCUUGACACUAUAGCCCUCUGUGUGAGCACUCAUUUGUUUUCUGAACCUCUGGUUUUGACAUAUAGAAUCUCGAUUCUCUAAAUUCUCUCAGGAGAGUCCUCUUCUGGGACCACGGCUUACUUUGUGUUCAAAAACUUUUGCAUAUUUUCAACUAAAUGGACCAACUUAAUAAAAAAUAGUUUAGAACUCCAGUGGUCACUAUGGGGAACUUUCAAGCUCUUCAUUACUGAUAACUGUACAUGUAUUAAACCACUGGUCUGUGGAUAAAAUAAUAAUGUUUAUGAAUCAAUACUGGUGAGGAAAUAUUAAUAAGGCCUCAUGAAGUGCCUACUUUGCUUGUCCCACCUGUUCUAAAUGUACUCCUGGGCAACUGUCUGCACUGCCCCUGAAUACUUUAUUUAAAAAAAAUUUUAACAUUAAAACAUUUUAAAUUUUAUAUUGGCGUAUAGUUGAUUUACAGUAUUGUGUUUCAGGUGUACAGCAAAGUGAUUCAGAUAUACAUGUAUCUAUUCAAAUUCUUUUUUCUGAACAUAUAUGAAAUGAUAUUUAUUAUAUGAAAUUGGCUUAAGCAAUAUGGUGGCUAGUAAGUGCAAAUCUGCUGCCCUUUGUGAACAAGCCUGAUAAGCAGUCUCCAGCCACCCCUCAAUCACUUAAAAUUGCUCAACUGACCAUUCAAAUUUUUGGCAAAUAAAUUUUAUACAACUCCCCUGUCUCAUGGAUAUAUAAUAAAUAUAUUUUGUCAGACAUUUAUAAUGUCUAUUUUUGUUAUAUUUUAUAUUGGACUCUUAAUUCAGUGAUACAAUAAAGGAAGGGUAUGAGGAAAUAGACUCUUCUAUUUUUUUCAAGGGAGUACAAAUUGGUAUGAUAGAAAAGGAAGGCAAUUUACCAGCAUCUGUUAAAACUAUAACUGUAGCACGGACACAACUGAAACGACUGAGCAUGCCUGCAUGGCAUUUUGGCCUAGGAACCCC